UAGACACAUAAAUUUUGAAGGUCUAGCUACCAUAUUAUUACCCACAAGGGUAAAGGAACAGUACCACUGCUGGAUAAUUGGAAAGUCCCUGUGUGUCAACCUCUGUGCUUCGUGGCAAGGUAGACUAGCAAACAUACCCAACCUUUACUCACAUUCGAGAAAACACUCCCAAUAAGAUUGCUUGCUCCAAAAUCGAAGAGGCACCGUAUUCCGAAUCUCGAGAGCCAGACUCCCAACAUGACUACUUUCUCAAAAUCGAAGAGAGGGUAAAGGAACAGUACCAUUGCUGGAUAAUUGGAAAGUCCCUGUGUGUCAACCUCUGUGCUUCGUGGCAAGGUAGACUAGCAAACAUGCCCAACCUUUACUCACAUUCGAGAAAACACUCCCAACAAGAUUGCUUGCUCCAAAAUCGAAGAGGCACCGCCCUCCGAAUCUCGAGAGCCAGACUCCCAACAUGAUUACUUUCUAAAAAAUCGAAGAGACACUGCUCCCCGAAUCUCGAGAGCCAGACCCCCAGCAUGAUUGCUUUCUCAAAAAUCGAAGAGGCAUCGUUCUCCGAAUCAAUCGAAGAGGCGCUCGCUUUCUCAAAAGCUAGGCUGCUCAGAGACCACGAGGGCCGAUCUCAAAAAUCGAAGAGGCACCUACUUUUCCAGCCUUGUCAGCACCUGUCACACGCAUUCUCAGCUUUGCGGAAAUUAUAGGCAUUCUGUCGAAGACUUCUGGUGAAGUAGAAAGCACAUGAAUCUUACUGUUCAAUCACCCACUUCCCACACGCAAUAAUAGCUCAUGGGUACCACAGAUAACUUUGCCAAAGUUCUCUGCCAAAGUUGAGCAUGUGAAGCUUGCAGCUCCCACUACAUCGAUCUGACCAAGAAAGGUAAAAGAAUAGCAAAGAAACAGCACUAACAAAGUUUAGACACAUAAAUUUUGAAGGUUUAGCCACCAUAUUAUUACCCACAACGGUAAAGGAACAGUACCACUGCUGGAUAAUUGGAAAGUCCCUGUGUGUCAACCUCUGUGCUUCGUGGCAAGGUAGACUAGCAAACAUGCCCAACCUUUACUCACAUUCGAGAAAACACUCCCAACAAGAUUGCUUGCUCCAAAAUUGAAGAGGCACCGUCCUCCGAAUCUCGAGAGCCAGACUCCCAACAUGACUACUUUCUCAAAAUCGAAGAG
Molecule: long non-coding RNA, 1176 nt
Filed under: Malus domestica (apple)
Lineage: Eukaryota; Viridiplantae; Streptophyta; Magnoliopsida; Rosales; Rosaceae
Description: long non-coding RNA (MDOM_LNC008209)
Source: RNAcentral